AAGGAGUCAAGGUUUUGCGCGAGUGUUCGGGUGUCAAACCCGCAACGCGCAGCGAAAGCAAACGCUGGUGGGAGCCACGGCGCACCACCGACCGAUCCCGAAGGCCUCGGACGGAUUUGAGUAUGAGCGCAAAGCUUUGGACCCGAAAGAUGGUGAACUAUGCGUGGGUAGGGUGAAGCCAGAGGAAACUCUGGUGGAGGCUCGCAGCGGUUCUGACGUGCAAAUCGAUCGUCAAACCUACGCAUGGGGGCGAAAGACUAAUCGAACCAUCUGGUAGCUGGUUGCCGC
Molecule: unclassified non-coding RNA, 288 nt
Filed under: uncultured fungus
Lineage: Eukaryota; Fungi
Description: partial contains 5.8S rRNA, ITS2 and 28S rRNA
Rfam family: Eukaryotic large subunit ribosomal RNA
Source: RNAcentral